This 256-nucleotide long non-coding RNA is filed under the name Malus domestica (apple). Its description in RNAcentral is "long non-coding RNA (MDOM_LNC020146)". Lineage: Eukaryota; Viridiplantae; Streptophyta; Magnoliopsida; Rosales; Rosaceae. The record is from RNAcentral.
CAAGCAUAUGACAUUCAUUCCAAGCUCAACUUUGCUCCAAAAGGCUCCAAAAUGCAUCAUUUUGCAUACUUUGCCCUUAGAACCCAAAAACACAUAAAACUAGCUUAAAAGACUACUUUACUAAGCAAAAACACUAUAAAUGUACAAGAACAAGCUAAACUAAGGCGCAUAAAUAUGCUCCUAUCAAAUUCCCCACACUUAGCUUUUGCUAGUCCUCGAGCAAAACAAAACGAAACAAAAGAACAAAACGAAAUAA